Molecule: long non-coding RNA, 2513 nt
Organism: Grus americana (Whooping crane)
Lineage: Eukaryota; Metazoa; Chordata; Aves; Gruiformes; Gruidae
Exons: 3
Source: RefSeq, a predicted model, not a curated record
GGGAGGCAGAAAAUGUCCGCUCUGAAGGGAAAACGGAGGCGACUUUUUUUUUUUUUUUAAAGCUAAUCUUUUACUUACUCCAUGCAUACUCACUGCAGGAGCUUUGUUCUCGCUUUCCCCUUCGUGUCAGGCUUUCUGAUGUUUGCUUCUAAAGAGGGGUUUUCAAAAGCAUGGUUUGUACAUUUGUAAAAUCUGGUCAAAGGUCAGAUUUCACGCUGCCUGCCCCUGUGACAAGUGCUGAAUAGGGAAGAAAUGUUUUAAAGUAGAAGCUGGAAAUACAGCUCCUCUAACAGCCAAGGCCAGUAGAAGGAGCUUCACCGGUAACUGAGUGGAAGAUCAUAAAUCACGGGCAGCGAGUCUGUAGGCCACAUCAUGCUGCGUGGAGAACCGCCCUAUGGAUGGAAGCAGGGUAGCCAUGGCUAACGCAGAGGGCAAGCCAGUUAGCCCCCUUGAGGUCCAAGAAAAUCAAUCAUCGUAGUUUCACAUUGGUGUAUGCAUACCAACUGUGGCAGCCUGGCUAAUUCCUCAUUGUGUUAUUAUAGUUGCUCUGUCUGUGAGUUCUCUCCUGCGCCAGCACCAAUACUGAUGCGGUUGCACAGUCUGGCUUGCUAUGCAACUUCACAGGCCCACGGGGGCACCAGACCCCUCUUUUUACUGGGUACGUGUGCUUAUGGUGCUUUCAAAAGAGGGUACAAAUGUGUCAUGCUGUAAUCCACUGAAUAAGGGCUUUAUUCAAAGACAGACAGAAAAAAAGGAUAGAGGUUCUUAGUGUAGAUACAUUAUUGAGGAUCCUAAAUUGCUUAGAGGCCAAAAUAAAUAUUCAUAUAAAAUAUCAUGGCAAGGUGGAGAAAACAAUCAGAACUUAUUAACUAGACCUUAUAAAUACAAUGUAGAGAAGAGAUUUGUAGUGUCAUCAGUGUGUGCAGUGCAUGAGCCUCAAGGAGAACAUUAGGUACUUAAAUGUUUAUCUGGAUAUAGCAGUAGCAAUUGCACCAUUUUCCUCAAGAACCAAGAACUCCUGCCCACAGAAGUAAUUGAAGCUGGGAGAAGCUCUUGGAGUGGCGCAAAGAAAUGAGAGUGCGAGGAAGGAGCCUUCAGCUCAAAUUAGGACAAGGGCAUUCCUGAGGAGAGAAGGAUGCUUGCAUGCAUCAGGGAGCAGAUAUUAAAGUAAAGCUUCAGAAAUACUAAAGAGAAAGAGAUUUUCUUGAGUGACUUGGAAAGAACAAGAUGAAAAUGGUUCAACUUGGGAAGCAGCAGAAAGUUCCUGGGUUAAAAACCAAGACUGAAGGAAAGGAUCCACUCUGCAAAGACAUGGUGAAGAAAGUAGGGAUUUGGUUUUGGCCCUUCUACUCCAGUGCAGAUCUGAUCACGCCGUUCCCAGCUCUCACACCUGUGGAAAUCUCACUGUAUUUCAGCCAGAGAGGCUCUUUCAUCUUGUCUCUCUGACCACCUGCCAUAAUCAGAAACAGGGUAAGAUACAAUUACAGAUGCUGUGACAGCAUUUCUUGACAUGUGACUGGAAGACAAAGGAGAAAAGUUUAAAACUUCAGAGACAUGUGUGAUUUCCACAGCAGAUAUUCAAACAGAGAAGCAAGAUGCCCCAGAAACAAAAGUAUAUUUGCAGGGAAAUAUACUUUAACUGCCAGUAGGUGAUGCUGCCUCCCUCAAGAUAAGAAAUGAAAUCCUUUCCAUCACCACUGGUUGUGCUGUAAUUUCAUGGGCUCUCAUCAUAACCCUGUUCCUGUGUUUUACAAACCAAUAAUGAGAACUAGAUGGCAAAGAACAAGAGAUUAAACCCAGCAAGGCAGAUGCCAGUUUUCCAGCUGGCUGAAAUUAAGCCAGUAAGUCAUCCAAAGGCAAAAGUGAGUGUAAUGAGGCCAGCCGUCUGAUUAUAAAGCCAGAGCUUCAUGCUGAAGGCUCUCAUCAGUCCUGGAGGCUAAGUUAUCAGACAGCUAUUUACUAAGCUAGAAGGCAUUCCAUAAAAAAGGCCAAAUCCAUCAUUUAAAGGGCGAUGACAUUGGUCAUCGUGGAUUUCACAGUAAGCACCUUGAUGGUGUGUAUCGGGUUUGUGUGGCAAAGUUUUGGUAGCGGGGGGGGCUACAGGGGUGGCUUCUGUGAGAAGCUGCCAGAAGCUUCCCCUGUGUCUGACAGAGCCAAUGCCAGCCGGCUCCAAGACGGACCCGCCCCUGGCCAAGGCCGAGCCCAUCAGCGCCUCUGUGAUAACAUAUUUAAGAAGGGGAAAAAAACCAGUUAGGGAGAGCUUUUGCAGCCGGAGAGAGGAGUGAGAAGAUGUAAGAAACUCUGCAGACACCCAGGUCAGUGCAGAAGGAGGGGCAGGAGGUGCUCCAGGCGCCGGAGCAGAGAUCCCCCUGCAGCCCGUGGUGAAGGCCAUGGUGAAGCAGGCUGUCCCCCUGCAGCCCAUGGAGGAAGGAUGAGGGGGUGUAGAGAUUCCACCUGCAGCCCGUGGAGGACCCCACGCCGGAGCAGGUGGAGGCACCUGAAGGAGGCUGUGG